RNAcentral lists this long non-coding RNA (706 nucleotides) under Rattus norvegicus (Norway rat). Its description in RNAcentral is "long non-coding RNA NONRATT029043". Lineage: Eukaryota; Metazoa; Chordata; Mammalia; Rodentia; Muridae. The record is from RNAcentral.
UUCAGGUCAGCCCUUUGUGAACCCGGAUGGAACUCCUGCGAUAUACAACCCUCCCGGAAGUCAGCAGACGCUGCGUGGCACUGUCAGUGGGCAGCCUCAACAACCCCCACCACAGCAACCGUCUCCUCAGCCUCAGCAGCAGGUCCAGGCAUCACAGCCUCAGAUGACAGGGCCACUGGUCACUCAGUCUGUCCAGGGCCUGCAGCCAUCUUCCCAGUCUGUGCAAUAUCCAGCGGUCUCUUUCCCUCCCCAGCAUCUCCUGCCUGUGUCGCCAACGCAGCACUUCCCCCUGCUAUAGAUGACGCUGAGUGCAUGGCCUGGGCUGACUGUGAUGUCAUUGUAUACAUGUAAACGUCUCAUGCCUGACUGGUAGAAUCCAUCCCUCCGAACAGCUUGCUUUCUUUUGCCUGUCUUCCCUAAGUUAAAUGCUUCUGCGUUCCGAUAUCCUUUUUAAAGUUUACUAGCUAACUGGCUGGGGAAAUGUCAAUAAAACACUUGUUAAGUCCGAGGGACUGAGUUCAGAUUCCCAGUACCCAUAUAAAGAGCUGGCCACGUGGUGAAUAUCUGUAGACUCAGUGCUCUGGAGACAGAAGUAGGAGAGCCAUGAGGGCUUCCUAGCCAGUCAGUGUAGCUAAACUGGUAAGUUCCAGGUUCAGCGAGAGACCCUGUUUCAAAUCAUAAACUGGAGAGAUAUUGGAGGAACACC